AUUGAACGCUGGCGGCAGGCUUAACACAUGCAAGUCGAGCGGGGUGAUGGUGCUUGCACUAUCACUUAGCGGCGGACGGGUGAGUAAUGCUUAGGAAUCUGCCUAUUAGUGGGGGACAACAUCUCGAAAGGGAUGCUAAUACCGCAUACGUCCUACGGGAGAAAGCAGGGGAUCACUUGUGACCUUGCGCUAAUAGAUGAGCCUAAGUCGGAUUAGCUAGUUGGUGGGGUAAAGGCCUACCAAGGCGACGAUCUGUAGCGGGUCUGAGAGGAUGAACGGCCACACUGGGACUGGGACACGGCCAAGACUCCUACGGGAGGCAGCAGUGGGGAAUAUUGGACAAUGGGGGGAACCCUGAUCCAGCCAUGCCGCGUGUGUGAAGAAGGCCUUAUGGUUGUAAAGCCCUUUAAGCGAGGAGGAGGCUCUUUUGGUUAAUACCCAAGAUGAGUGGACGUUACUCGCAGAAUAAGCACCGGCUAACUCUGUGCCAGCCGCCGCCGUAA
Molecule: ribosomal RNA, 503 nt
Filed under: uncultured bacterium
Lineage: Bacteria
Description: partial 16S ribosomal RNA
Rfam family: Bacterial small subunit ribosomal RNA
Source: RNAcentral